Molecule: long non-coding RNA, 217 nt
Filed under: Homo sapiens (human)
Lineage: Eukaryota; Metazoa; Chordata; Mammalia; Primates; Hominidae
Description: lncAB640.1
Source: RNAcentral
GCGUCCAGCUGCCCUUCCACAGUGAGGCCAGGCUGCCUGGCCUUGUCCUCAGCCAGUUAAAAUGUGUUUCUCCUGAGCUAGGAAGAGUCUACCCGACAUAAGUCGAGGGACUUUAUGUUUUUGAGGCUUUCUGUUGCCAUGGUGAUGGUGUAGCCCUCCCACUUUGCUGUUCCUUACUUUACUACCUGAAUAAAGAGCCCUAAGUUUGUACUAAAAA